This 432-nucleotide ribosomal RNA is filed under the name uncultured bacterium. RNAcentral describes it as "partial 16S ribosomal RNA". It matches the Rfam family "Bacterial small subunit ribosomal RNA", at positions 28 to 507 of the family's 1533-position model. The record is from RNAcentral.
GAUGAACGCUGGCGGUAUGCUUAACACAUGCAAGUCGAACGGUCACUUCGGUGAUAGUGGCGGACGGGUGAGUAACGCGUGAGAAUCUGUCUUCAGGUCGGGGACAACAGUUAGAAAUGACUGCUAAUACCGGAUGUGCCUUUGGGUGAAAGAUUUAUUGCCUGAAAAAGAGCUCGCGUCAGAUUAGCUAGUAGGUGGUGUAAGAGACUACCUAGGCUCCGAUCUGUAGCUGGUCUGAGAGGACGAUCAGCCACACUGGAACUGAGACACGGUCCAGACUCCUACGGGAGGCAGCAGUGGGGAAUUUUCCGCAAUGGGCGAAAGCCUGACGGAGCAAUACCGCGUGAGGGACGAAGGCUUUUGGGUCGUAAACCUCUUUUCUCAAGGAAGAUGAUGACGGUACUUGGGGAAUAAGCAUCGGCUAACUCUGUG